This 545-nucleotide long non-coding RNA is filed under the name Homo sapiens (human). RNAcentral's name for it is "non-protein coding lnc-PPP1R27-2:4". The record is from RNAcentral. Lineage: Eukaryota; Metazoa; Chordata; Mammalia; Primates; Hominidae.
ACUUCCGGCGGGGCCUCCCAGCUGGAAGAGGCGGUGGCGGCGGGUCGGGGCGAGGAUCAGGAGGGGAGAAGAAGGAGCCUCUGCUGCCUCCCAGGCUGCUGGGACUGGGCUGGUUUUGUCCUUGAAGUGGUCAGGAUACAGGACAAGGGCAGCCCCACCCCAUCCAGCCUGGGCUCCCCGCAGACCCUUGCUGCUCCCGUGGCCUGGACACGCUGGGGAGCUUCUCACACCUACCCCUACCGUCCAGCCUGGCCUCUUCCCUGAAUCAGCUUCAAGAUGGCACCAGCUCUUUGGGCCUAGGAUACUGCCGGGCCCCCCAAGGGGGUCCCCAGCAACCAGGCCUGGCCUCCUGGUGUCUGCGGUCACAGUGGCCCCUGGGCAGGGGCACCCAGGCUGACCCUGAGGUGCUGCUGCUGGGUCUGUCUUGGCUCUGGGGUGUGCUGGGAGGGUCACCAGGUCCCUUUUCCUUCCUGUGCCCUCUGAAAGCUAAGUGUCUGUGUGGCUGUGGAGCUCGAGGGUCUGUGAAUAAAGGCGGCGGCACUGGG